Molecule: ribosomal RNA, 230 nt
Filed under: uncultured bacterium
Lineage: Bacteria
Description: partial 16S ribosomal RNA
Rfam family: Bacterial small subunit ribosomal RNA
Source: RNAcentral
CUCGUAGGUGGUUGCGUAAGUCGGAUGUGAAAACUCAGGGCUUAACCCUGAGACGCCAUCCGAUACUGCGCUGACUUGAGUCCGGUAGAGGAGUGUGGAAUUCCUAGUGUAGCGGUGAAAUGCGCAGAUAUUAGGAGGAACACCAAUUGCGAAGGCAGCACUCUGGGCCGGUACUGACACUGAGGAGCGAAAGCGUGGGUAGCAAACAGGAUUAGAUACCCUGGUAGUCC